CAGUUCUCUCUCAUUCCCGCCAUUUACAGCCGAGCGAACGAGGGCGUGUCACAACUCAUUCGGUCCCGCUGCCUAGAUGGGCGAGCCAACCAGAAGCGUGCUGCUGCCCUUUUCACUGCCACUAUGCGGCAGGUUCCAGGUUCUUGUUCUGUGACCAGAAGAAUGAGAGACAAGUUGCAAUGUUCCCCAAGCUGAUCUCAAAUACCUGGCCUCAAGUUAUCCCCCCACCUCAGCCUCCCAGGUUGGGAUUGCAGGUACACACCAGCACGUCUGUCUUUGUGAACCUAUUGGAAGAAUCAUAUGGUCAACUGAAAAAGUGUUUGAUGACAACUUGCAGCAUAGAGACAGAGAAGACACACGGGCAUAUGCUUUGGACUACAAAAUCCCUAAAGUGUCCUUCCAAAUGUUAAAUGAGGAUUCUAUAAAAGAAGCAACAAUGUUGAUUAUUUAAUUAUAGUAUUGAAAGAAGUGCUAUAGUGAGUCAACUUGGCUCACAAUACAAGACACUUGAAGACUAGAGCAUGCUCUUGGGUUCUUAAUAAAC
This 544-nucleotide long non-coding RNA is filed under the name Homo sapiens (human). RNAcentral describes it as "HSALNT0323823". The record is from RNAcentral. Lineage: Eukaryota; Metazoa; Chordata; Mammalia; Primates; Hominidae.